CAUGGUAAGCUUUUUCAACUGUGGUAAAAUUGGAGGAAGUUGAGGGAGCUUGAAGAAGUCCUUGCAUCAUCCUGUGAGACGUGAUAACUGAAGGGAUGCAUGUGGCUGUUGUGGUGAUGAAUAAAGUGUCCAUACUCACCCCACCCCUUCAACCUUUGAAAGCCCAUGUUAAGCUCACCAGAGGCAGAACAUGCUAAGGACAGCUCUACCUGGAAUCCUCACCUGAAGAACUCUCCUUAGGGAGGCAAGUAGGGGCUGCUGAGACUGAAUUAAUUGUCUGCAGAAAACCUUCUUAAGCUGAGCUAGCUGCUGGUCUGGCAAGCAUAAUCAGACUAACCUAUCUUUGCUUUUUGCACAAGUGAGUGGGAUGAACAGUACCUUGGACCGCGGUGUUCCUGUUGGCAAGUUGAUCUUUGUCACUGCCUGCAGCUCAGAGCAUGGGCAACGCACAUGGGACAAGGAUGAGCCUGGAAGCCUUCUUUCCACAGUGCUUGCACCAAGCCAGAUACUAAGAGCCAGCAGCUGUACAGCCUGCAAGAGGGGUACUAAAGCUGUCAUCUGCCCUUUGUUCAACAGGUUUGACCAUCUUGGCACAUACUCAUUGGGUCUGCAUCCAAAACACAGCUUGGGACAACACCAUAACCCCAGCCUUCCUGCUGUACACCCCUCCAGCCCUCCCUAGCACCAGGCAGGGUGGUGGGAUGACUGACAAUUUGUAUCCCAGAUGUCCUUUUCUGACAGUGAGUGCCUUGCUCAGCUCCCAGCCUCAUGGCUUCAUUCCUAGCAUGAAACUGGGAACAAAAGCUUUCUGCAGGCCUACAGAGUGGUUGCUCCCUCCUCUCUUCACAGAAAUUGAAUGGAGGCACGACUGUUCCGUGUUGGAACUAAUCACUGGUCACAGCUGCCUCUGAAACGGGGCUGGGGCAUUGUACCCCUGAGAAGCCGUGGCACAAGCGACUGGAAUAGGACACUGUGCGGCGCAGCGGUUCGCGUUGUUCCAGGCUAAGCAAUUAGGGCUUAUCCACCGAAUAAAGGGGACUGUGGCCAGCCUUCUUGGCUGUGUAUGGCUUGUACAGCAGAUGGUACCCGGAGUAUAAUGGACUAAAAAUGUUCUGAGUGGGGAAAAUGUCACAGUUGAAAAUGUCACCACCACUGACCUUCUCUGGAAAAGCAGAGGCCAACUGAAAAAGCCUUUUAUGCAGGCAGUGGGUACCAGGAAAAACAGACACUCCUGAGAUACUUUUAUUAUUUAUUUAUUAUUUUCCUGGCAAUAGGAUGUUCUAAAUCAGUUGAUGUGUCCCAGAAUUUUGAGGCAUGCUUCACCCUCCAUGAUAGGAACCAAAUAAAGAUAAGAGGGAGGGAGAUUGUGGUUUCAAUAUGGGAACGCAAAAUGAAGAUGGAAACUGAGGAACCAGUUUUUCCAACUGGGGGAGUUAACACAGGCCCUGAUGAAUUGCCUUACGCUGAUUGGGAUAUGAGAUGAAGCAGUCAGCCAAAGAUUACUGGAGAACACACAACUGACCAGUUAUGUAGAUCAAUUGUACUUUGCAAAGUGGAGAAGAACACCCAGAGCAGUUUAUGAAAUUUAUGAAGGCUGAACAAGCCUGCAACACUGUGGAUGUAGUAGAGAAUGAAAACUAAAAUACCACAAGUACAGAAGGGCAUGCCAGAUCUCAAAACUGGAUUCUCAAGGAACAAAAUGUGGCAAUGCACAGGCUGGUGAACAUUGUGAGCUGAGACAAUGCAGCUCUGAAAGAAGGAUACAAGAACACAUGUGGGUUGUAUUGUUUGCUAGUGCCAGCAGUGUGUGUAGCAUGUACUGAAGAAUGGCGACCUUCAGGAAGGAAGGAAAAGUGGAUAAUGCUGCAGCCAAAGCUGUAUAGACUAAUCUCCCUAAAGCAAAUAGCACAUGUUAGCAGUGAGGUAGCCUGUGGAGCAAGCUACCAACAUUACAUCAGAAACAGGAAUAUCAACAUAAAACAGUGUUGAUAAGUCUGAAGAGAAAUGGAUAAAGCCUAAGUGACAAUGGUAAGACAUGUGAACUGUGAACUGAACAUCUUGAUAAACUGUUAAGUCUAUGACAGUUUGCUGGGGGGUGGGAUGGAGCAGGGCAGUAAUAGUUAUUGGAGUGUGGGACUUACCUAGAUGGUGACCUCCUCAUGUGGAGGUCCUCCAUACUCACUGGAGAGAUGGGGAGAAAAAAAAAAAAGAGUGAUAAAAGAAUUUGGGAAUGUGUUCACAGAUCAGAAAUAUUUGCAACACUGCACCAAUCAGAGCCAGUCUGUUACUGAAUUUACACCCUUAGUAAAGAUCUCCUUACCCUAGGGCUGAUGUCUGGGGAGGGACGGGCAGAUUCAUUACGCUUGGGAAUCACAAAAUCAAUAGGGGAUCUGAAAGAACAGAUACCCACUUGCUCAUUAUUGUGGGAGAAGAGAGAAUCCCAAAUCAUCCACUUCAUACCUGAACCCAAAAAAGUUAGUAAGAAUUUAAAAGGGAGCAUUUUUCUAUGCCCUAGAAGAAAAAUGUUCGAAGAUGUCAAAUAUUUUUUUACUUCGUUGCACCAGCAAAGUUCUGUAAGACACUCCUAGCCUAAAAACAGUGCCUGCAUGUAUUUAAACCUCCUGCAUUCCUGGGGCACUGCUUUCUCAGGUCAUAGCACAGACUGCACGAGGCACACCGCUGUGCCUGCUUGGCUCUGAGUGAUUUCUGAACCAGGAAACUGAGCCCAUAAGUACAUCACCUUCUAUCGAGCCCUUUUUCCCCCUUUUCCAUAAUGUCCUUCUUUCUAAUUCUCCUUCCUUCCAGUAGCAUGACAUGCCUGACUUCAUUCUUUCCUUCAGCCAUAUAAGCUAUCAGAUAACUAGCAUUUACUAUUUGUAUGUGCUAAACAUUUCCUUCCUUCUCUGGUUUUAUUGUCUUUAGACUACAAUUGUUUGGGGACAGGUUUGAGUUCCUGUAUUUUUAAGUGGUACUUAAAACAGUGGAAUGCAAAUUUGGGAUGAAUUUACUAUGAUUUAGUCCCCCCUGUUCUUCCUCAUAAUUUGUGAAAAACAGGCUCUAUUGGUAUGUGUUGUGGCAAAAGUGCUGCCUCCGUUGAUCCAAAUCCCAGCUGUUCCUCAUUUACAAAGAGGAUACGCUGGAGGAAAUUGCUUUACACCCAAAAUGGGGUUAAUUACUCCUUAUUAUAUUCUUAUUCAACUUCUUUUUGAAUUUUCUUUUAAUUACUCCUUUUUCUAUUAAGCACAAGCUAAAUAUUGACAAUCCAGUUUAUUAUUAUUUUUUCUUAUAUGGACAGUAACAGCCUUCUCUGGCCCAUUGUUGCUCUGACUAGUGAGUUCAAACAGUUGCACAUCAUUCCUCAUGUGCAGAUACACGGACUGUGUCAUCCAACCUCUUCCCUUCAUCAGUUUGUUCCCAUCUCAGAAAACUUUUAGGCUACUAGAGACCCUAUAUUGCAUUAAUUGAUCUGUGAGCCUGCAUGUAAUGCAGCCUGGCUUGCAAGGUUGCACAAAAGAGUAAAAAACCUCAUUCAUUAUAAGUUCAUGUUCUAAUUUUUUUCAUCCAAAGGCUGCUUGCAGACAUCUGUGCAAAGGUAGCGUGGUUCUCUGUAGAGCCAGGACCAGU
Molecule: long non-coding RNA, 3624 nt
Organism: Cygnus olor (mute swan)
Lineage: Eukaryota; Metazoa; Chordata; Aves; Anseriformes; Anatidae
Exons: 3
Source: RefSeq, a predicted model, not a curated record